Molecule: long non-coding RNA, 587 nt
Organism: Corapipo altera (White-ruffed manakin)
Lineage: Eukaryota; Metazoa; Chordata; Aves; Passeriformes; Pipridae
Exons: 3
Source: RefSeq, a predicted model, not a curated record
GUCGCGGUCCCGGUCCCUUUCCCGGUCCCUGUCCCUCCCGGCGGCGGGGCAGCCGGCCUGCCGGCGGUUUCGAGCAGCUCCGGGUGCGGGGGAGCUGCCGGGGGGGCGGCCCCGUCCCGGCCCCUCGGGCCGCGCGCUGUGAGGGGCUGUGCGGGCCCGGCCCGUGCCCCGCGGGCAGCUGCGGCCCCGCCGAGCCUGCCGCCGUCCUGCGGCCUCCUGCACUGCGGCCUCCUGCACUGCGGCCUCCUGCACGGCAGCCUCCCGCAGGGAUCACCUGUGUGCAGGGUGUCCGAAGUCCAUUUUCAGAGUAGUCGGGAAAUCCCACAGGAAAAAGAACACUUUCUCGCGUGAGCAAAGCAAACCCCAGGUACGCCUCGACCGUGCCAGCUGGCGGUGGUGACUCGUGGGGAGGGAUCCCAACAGUGCCUGGAGAGGGUCGGGCUCGUAAAGCUCCAGUUAUCUGCACAAACCCAGAGGAGCUCCAUGGCCAGAGGAGCUGCCCGAUGGAGCACAUGGAGCCCGGCACCAGCCAGGCUGGGAUGACUCCCCGGGAGUCCAGCUGCACUCUGGAGAAGAGAAAUGGAGAG